GUUUAUGUAUUUGAGUUAGCAGUAAAUUAUCAGUAGGUUAGUAAGUGGCCUGGUGGAGAGGGGGAUAGUUCCAUAGUCUUAGGGUGGAGUGAGUUCGAUACACAUGUGUAGCACAUUUUUUAGUAUUUCAUUUUCUUUUAGCAUUUUACUUUUUUAGUAUUUUAUUGUCUUUUAGCAUUGUUGUUUCUUUUAAUAUUUUUUUUUAUGUCCAUG
This 213-nucleotide long non-coding RNA is filed under the name Lathyrus oleraceus (garden pea). RNAcentral describes it as "Pisum sativum (pea) long non-coding RNA (PSAT_LNC022579)". The record is from RNAcentral. Lineage: Eukaryota; Viridiplantae; Streptophyta; Magnoliopsida; Fabales; Fabaceae.